GGCCUCAUCGACUAAUAGGUUAGGUCAUAGUAACUUCACUGCUGUAACACCGGUUCAAAUCCGGUUGAGGCCA
Non-coding RNA from Jimgerdemannia flammicorona, 73 nucleotides. Lineage: Eukaryota; Fungi; Mucoromycota; Endogonomycetes; Endogonales; Endogonaceae. The record is from the annotation of a GenBank genome assembly.